Molecule: long non-coding RNA, 2470 nt
Filed under: Homo sapiens (human)
Lineage: Eukaryota; Metazoa; Chordata; Mammalia; Primates; Hominidae
Description: non-protein coding lnc-TRPM5-1:1
Source: RNAcentral
AUGCGCUCGCCCCUCUACUCCUCCACGCCCCGGCCCUUGGGUCCGGCUCGGAAGCAGCCCCGGAAACGACGGCAUUUGUUGGGGAAACAAGACCGGAAUUGACCAAGAACAGGAAGAGGAGGGGCCAGGCCUGCAAUUCCCAGAAUGCUCGAGGGCUAACCGACAGCCAGGCUGGCUUCCCGUGGUCUCAGCGCCACCUGCCGGAAGCCGCGAGAACAGCGGCCGCCUCAGGCAGGAAGUGCGUCAUCUCGCACGGAGGACGAAUGCCGUUCCCGGCACUUCCGGUCCUGACCGGAAGCGGUAACCGUCACUCCUUCUGGGCUCUGUCAGUGCACCGAGGCGGGGCUCCCCAGGAUCCCACGGUCCCGCUCAGGCCAGACGCAGAGGCAGUCCCAGCCCGCGAUGAGGACGUGGGGUCGUGACCGCUGGGCCACGGUGAAGGGGGCAGCCCUGCUGGACCCGCUAGCUGGGCCGACGCUUUCCCACCCCUAGGGGUUUGCUGGGCCCUGGCCGCAAACUUGUGGGGCGCCGUCCUCGGGGCCACUGCCCGGCCACCCUCACACCCUUGGGCCCUCAGCUCUGGUGCAUUGGUCCGGGCUCCGGGAGGCACUGAGACGUCCCCCUAGGGCGCUGCAGGGAAGCGAGGGCCAGGCCCUUCCAGGUCCCCGGUCCUCCCGGGCAGGAUGGAGGCUGCUGAACGCUCCUCAAGCUUCCAAGUCAGCCGUGGCUGGGCGGGCGGCAGCAGGGAAGGUUUGGGCUCCGCCAUGCUUGCGAGCCAGCAGCCUGGCCUCGCCUGUCCGCAGCAGGGGGCAGGUCAGCUGCCCGCCCUGAAAGGGAGGACCAGGGCCCAGAUUCUCCCUGCGACAAGCCGCGUCUUCCUUGGCCACUGGGCCCUAGAUGGUUGGCACCUUGUGCCCCUUCUCAGCUGGGAGAGUUCCUGCCCCACACACUCAAGGAUUCUGAGUUCUCCUUGGCUGCUAGACCUCUGGUCCCUCUGAAAGGCUCGAGAGAGAACUCCCCCAGGGCCUGCUGUCCUGGCAUCCGCUGGGAAAUAGGAUUCAAGGACCUGCUGUGGCUCAGCCUAGAAAAAAGGAGGGGAAGCAGGACCCACUCCUCGGCCCCCGGUCUGCUGUGCGCCUUUGGGAUUCCUUAUUUCUUAAACUGCUCUUCCCUCCCCACAGGGAACACAGCGGAAAGUAGAGAGGGGGCUCCUUGGACCAUUAUGUUCUCCCAACCAGUGCAGGCUUGCAAGUUGGGAGCAGCAGGGGAGGAGGGCCUGCUGAGAGACUCUGUAACCCCCUAAAAUGCAGGGCUGGGGACAGUUUCCAAAUUGGCCUGCAAAGAGGCUGCUGGGAGCCCUAGAUAUGAAUUCCCAGGCACUCAUUUCCUCCAGGGAACAGUGAAAUGUGCCAGCACCCCCCUCCCCACAACUAGGGAAAAGUAGCCUAACCCAGAGCAAGCCCCACCCCACGAUGUGGGGAAAGAUAGGAGAGUCUAGACCAAGCCCACUGGCUGGAGGUGCUCAGACAAAGGGAAAAGGACGGGGGAGUGCAGGGGCUCCUUAGCCCCACAGCCUGUCUGCCCCCAACCACCGCUCGCUGGUGGGCUGGGGGGGCUCCCUAGUAGGAUGAGGUCUUUCUUCCCCUCCAGACCCUCUGAGAUGUGGCUCAGGCCUGAGCCAUCAGCUCCUCAAAGGAACAUUUACAGGUAACAGAUGGGCAGGGCAGAGACCCUCAAAUGCUCGGGAGGGGGCAGUGUGUCCAUCCUUUACCAUCCCUCAGGAGGAAGAGGAGUCCUGCAGCGCACCCAGCCCCUACCCCAAGCCCAUCUCACUGCAUUCCCUGGCUGCCCGACCCCUCCUGCCCACCUGCUUACACUGUGUGCCCCUUGUGUGCCCAAGGGGCAGGGUGGAAGUGGCUGCAGGCAACACAGGGCCUCUCCCAAAAGAGAAUAGAGAGAACGCUCCCAAAAAGGGCCCUUGCUACCUGGAGUUGCUCCCUGGUUUAAACCCAAAGUAAAAUUCUAAGCAACCCCAACCAACUGAAUGGGCACCUCUUGGCCAAAUGCAUUCUAAAGUAAACCUGAAAAGCUCGUUGAGGCCAUGAUGACUGUGGGUGGCCGAACAUGCCUCAUAGGCACAGCUGACCAGCAUUCACAUUAAAACAGAGACCUUAGUCCGGUGUGGUGGCUCACACCUGUAAUCCCAAAACCUGGUGUGUCACGUGAGGUCAGGAGUUCGAGACUAGCCUGGCCACCGUGGCGAAACACCGUCUCUACUAAAAAUACAAAAUUAGCUGGGUGGGGUGGUGCAUGCCUGUUGUCCCAGCUACUCAGGAGGCUGAGGCAGGAGAAUCGCUUGAACCUGGGAGGUGGAGGGGAGGCUGCAGUGAGCUGAGAUCACGCCAUUGCACUCCAACCUGGGUGACAAGAGCAAAACUCUGUCUAAAAAUAAAAAGACCUUAAGACUCAC